GAUGAACGCUGGCGGCGUGCUUAACGCAUGCAAGUCGAACGAAGCAUUUGCGACAGAUUUUUUCGGAAUGAAGUUGCUUAUGACUGAGUGGCGGACGGGUGAGUAACGCGUGGGUAACCUGCCUUGUACUGGGGGAUAGCAGCUGGAAACGGCUGGUAAUACCGCAUAAGCGCACAAUGUUGCAUGACAUGGUGUGAAAAACUCCGGUGGUAUAAGAUGGACCCGCGUCUGAUUAGCUAGUUGGUGAGAUAACAGCCCACCAAGGCGACGAUCAGUAGCCGACCUGAGAGGGUGACCGGCCACAUUGGGACUGAGACACGGCCCAGACUCCUACGGGAGGCAGCAGUGGGGAAUAUUGCACAAUGGAGGAAACUCUGAUGCAGCGACGCCGCGUGAGUGAAGAAGUAAUUCGUUAUGUAAAGCUCUAUCAGCAGGGAAGAUAGUGACGGUACCUGACUAAGAAGCUCCGGCUAAAUACGUG
This 481-nucleotide ribosomal RNA is filed under the name uncultured bacterium. RNAcentral's name for it is "partial 16S ribosomal RNA". It matches the Rfam family "Bacterial small subunit ribosomal RNA", at positions 28 to 507 of the family's 1533-position model. The record is from RNAcentral.